GAUCAUGGCUCAGAUUGAACGCUGGCGGCAGGCCUAACACAUGCAAGUCGAACGGUAACAGGAAGCAGCUUGCUGCUUUGCUGACGAGUGGCGGACGGGUGAGUAAUGUCUGGGAAACUGCCUGAUGGAGGGGGAUAACUACUGGAAACGGUAGCUAAUACCGCAUAACGUCGCAAGACCAAAGAGGGGGACCUUCGGGCCGUCUUGCCAUCGGAUGUGCCCAGAUGGGAUUAGCCAG
RNAcentral lists this ribosomal RNA (238 nucleotides) under uncultured bacterium. Its description in RNAcentral is "partial 16S ribosomal RNA". It matches the Rfam family "Bacterial small subunit ribosomal RNA", at positions 15 to 248 of the family's 1533-position model. The record is from RNAcentral.